RNAcentral lists this ribosomal RNA (440 nucleotides) under uncultured bacterium. RNAcentral describes it as "partial 16S ribosomal RNA". It matches the Rfam family "Bacterial small subunit ribosomal RNA", at positions 338 to 795 of the family's 1533-position model. The record is from RNAcentral.
CCUACGGGGGGCAGCAGUGGGGAAUAUUGCACAAUGGGGGAAACCCUGAUGCAGCGACGCCGCGUGAGUGAAGAAGGAUUUCGGUAUGUAAAGCCCUGUCAGCAGGGGAGAAAAUGCCGGUACCUGACCAAGAAGCCGCGGCUAACUACGUGCCAGCAGCCGCGGUAACCAGUAGGGGGCAAGCGUAAUCCGGAUUUACUGGGUGUAAAGGGAGCGUAGACGGCAGGGCAAGUCUGGAGUGAAAGGCGGGGGGUCAACCCCCGGACUGCUCUGGAAACUGCCAGGCUGGAGUGCAGGAGAGGUAAGUGGAAUUCCUGGUGUAGCGGUGAAAUGCGUAGAUAUUAGGAGGAACACCAGUGGCGAAGGCGGCUUACUGGACUGUAACUGACGUUGAGGCUCGAAAGCGUGGGGAGCGAACAGGAUUAGAUACCCUGGUAGUC